Molecule: ribosomal RNA, 492 nt
Filed under: Clostridium sp. MT147
Lineage: Bacteria; Bacillati; Bacillota; Clostridia; Eubacteriales; Clostridiaceae
Description: bacterial SSU rRNA
Rfam family: Bacterial small subunit ribosomal RNA
Source: RNAcentral
GNGNGUGCUACCAUGCAGUCGAGCGAUCUCUUCGGAGAGAGCGGCGGACGGGUGAGUAACGCGUGGGUAACCUGCCCUGUACACACGGAUAACAUACCGAAAGGUAUACUAAUACGGGAUAACAUANGAAAGUCGCAUGGCUUUUGUAUCAAAGCUCCGGCGGUACAGGAUGGACCCGCGUCUGAUUAGCUAGUUGGUAAGGUAAUGGCUUACCAAGGCAACGAUCAGUAGCCGACCUGAGAGGGUGAUCGGCCACACUGGAACUGAGACACGGUCCAGACUCCUACGGGAGGCAGCAGUGGGGAAUAUUGCACAAUGGGCGAAAGCCUGAUGCAGCAACGCCGCGUGAGCGAUGAANGCCUUCGGGUCGUAAAGCUCUGUCCUCAAGGAAGAUAAUGACGGUACUUGAGGAGGAAGCCCGGCUAAUUCCUGCCAGCAAGCCGCGUUAAUACGUAGGGGCUAGCGUUUUCCGGAAUUACUGGGCGUAAAGGG